AAUAGAUACCCAAGUAGUCCACGCCGUAAACGGUGGGCGCUAGAUGUGGGGGCUCUUUCCAUGAGUUCCGCGUCGCAGCUAACGCAUUAAGUGCCCCGCCUGGGGAGUACGGCCGCAAGGCUAAAACUCAAAGGAAUUGACGGGGGCCCGCACAAGCGGCGGAGCAUGCGGAUUAAUUCGAUGCAACGCGAAGAACCUUACCAAGGCUUGACAUAUACGGUCUAUCCCUAGAGAUAGGGAGUGCUUCGGCGCCGUAUACAGGUGGUGCAUGGUUGUCGUCAGCUCGUGUCGUGAGGUGUUGGGUUAAGUCCCGCAACGAGCGCAACCCUCGUUCUAUGUUGCCAGCACGUAAUGGUGGGGACUCAUAGGAGACUGCCGGGGUCAACUCGGAGGAAGGUGGGGGUGACGUCAAAUCAUCAUGCCCCUUAUGUCUUGGGCUUCACGCAUGCGUACAAUGGCCGGUACAAAGGACUGCAAUACCGUAAGGUGGAGCGAAUCCCAAAAACGCCGGUCUCAGUUCGGAUUGAGGU
Molecule: ribosomal RNA, 530 nt
Filed under: uncultured bacterium
Lineage: Bacteria
Description: bacterial SSU rRNA
Rfam family: Bacterial small subunit ribosomal RNA
Source: RNAcentral